Long non-coding RNA from Chiroxiphia lanceolata (lance-tailed manakin), 549 nucleotides. RefSeq lists it as uncharacterized. The record is from RefSeq and is a predicted model, not a curated record. Lineage: Eukaryota; Metazoa; Chordata; Aves; Passeriformes; Pipridae. The transcript is spliced from 4 exons.
ACAGGCUAAUUGUAAGGUCUAUUGUGCUUUUUAGCAAGUCAGCUUGAUAUCCCCUAUUAUCAGAGCUGAGUUCUUCCUUGGUUUUGCUACAUACUGCAAGAUGGAUACAUCUACCCUUGAAACACAAUGGUAGAGGUCAUACAUAGGGGUGAGAAAGAUGAUGAUGGGAGGAAGAUUAUGUGGGCAGGGGUCGCUCGCCCCUUGCCCUACAAGUAGGGCAUGCACAGACUGUUGCCAUGAGGUAAUGAACAGGUGGGGUUUGGCUGCCACUCAGGCAUCACCUUAUACUUCGUACUGGCCCUACGUGGUGUAAUGUGGAGCUGAUAAAAUGGGGUGUCAGGACUGCUGAGUUGAGCAAUACUCAUCCUACCACUGAGGCUGUGCUGCUCCGCGGGGACGCCCGCUAAGCAUGGGCACUGACCAGCUGCUGCAGAUCCUGACAGCCCUGGCCUGUCUGUGUGGGUGAGCACAGUUUAUUGACAGGAAGCAACUGAGAGAACAAACUUUUUAAUAUCCUUUUAGUGUUCCUUUCAUUCCCCUUUACUGGUG